Molecule: non-coding RNA, 139 nt
Organism: Callorhinus ursinus (northern fur seal)
Lineage: Eukaryota; Metazoa; Chordata; Mammalia; Carnivora; Otariidae
Source: RefSeq, a predicted model, not a curated record
AGCUUUGCGCAGUGGCAGUAUCGUAGCCAAUGAGGUUUAUCCGAGGCGCGAUUAUUGCUAAUUGAAAAUAUAUAAAUACAAUAAAUACAAUAUUUAUUUUUAAAUUAAAAAAAAUACCACACUUAUGGGGUGCCUGGGU